UGAACAAGACAUCGAUUGAGGAGCCUUCUCUCUCUUAACACACUCUUAUUCUUCAGAGAGAGAAUGAGAAUUCCGGCGACAACUGGUUUUUUUGUUUUAUACAUAGUUUCUGACUUUUGACGGAUCUCUCUUUCCGCUUAGUCAGAUUUUAAUAAUUUUCGGUUUAGCUUGGUUCGUUUCCGGUUAAGAUCGGAUUAUUUUUAGUUUUAUUUUUUUUCCCUCUUUCUACAGGAUUUCAGUGUAAAUCCCGCUUGCUGUCAAUUGGUUUCUUUCAUGUUCAUCUGUUGGCUUGACUCUUCUCCAAAGUUAGAGUAAUAUCUUCGCCGUAAUGUCUUCGUCGUUAUGCGAAGUGGACCUCUCUAUCGGUCUUGGGCGGAGCUUCUUCCUUUGAAGUUGGGGUUGAGAUGAAGAUCUACAAAAUCUCCUAUUACUCAAGGUGGAAACAACAUACCCAAUUUGAUUUGUGGCGGUAAUAUCUGUAGAAGGAUGGCUCCAAGAGCGUGAAUUGAAGCCUUCACCUGGUGGUUAAGACCGUCGUCGGACGUGACGGCAAAUUAAAAAUUUGGCGGUGAGCAACCAAAGGUGUUCCCGCGGUUUUCUCGCUUGUGCCACAUGAAUCCAUUAGGUUUUUGCAUCAAACACGUGUCUCUUACGUGUCUUCUUUGUGUAAUUUGGUUCAUUUUAAAAUUGGGUUUCAAAAGGCUUUGUAUCACGUAUCUUGUAAUUUGUCCUUUAUGGAUUUCGUUAUAAGACGAAAAAUUGCCUGCAAAAAAAAAAAAAUCUUCUCAGCCCAUUUUUUAAAAUACUAUUUUUUUGGGUAAAUAAA
Molecule: long non-coding RNA, 826 nt
Organism: Arabidopsis thaliana (thale cress)
Lineage: Eukaryota; Viridiplantae; Streptophyta; Magnoliopsida; Brassicales; Brassicaceae
Product: other RNA
Exons: 1
Source: RefSeq